GCCCCGGUAGCUCAGUUGGACAGAGCACGUCUCUGGCUUAGGCGAGGUCGUGGGUUCGAGUCCCACCCGGGGCG
RNAcentral lists this transfer RNA (74 nucleotides) under Chloroflexota bacterium. Its description in RNAcentral is "Chloroflexi bacterium (marine sediment metagenome) tRNA-Ala". It matches the Rfam family "tRNA". Rfam says of the family: Transfer RNA (tRNA) molecules are approximately 80 nucleotides in length. Their secondary structure includes four short double-helical elements and three loops (D, anti-codon, and T loops). Further hydrogen bonds mediate the characteristic L-shaped molecular structure. tRNAs have two regions of fundamental functional importance: the anti-codon, which is responsible for specific mRNA codon recognition, and the 3' end, to which the tRNAs corresponding amino acid is attached (by aminoacyl-tRNA synthetases). tRNAs cope with the degeneracy of the genetic code in two manners: having more than one tRNA (with a specific anti-codon) for a particular amino acid; and 'wobble' base-pairing, i.e. permitting non-standard base-pairing at the 3rd anti-codon position. The record is from RNAcentral. Lineage: Bacteria; Bacillati; Chloroflexota. RNAcentral also lists the same sequence under 1 other name.